AGUGGAAUAUCUUUCCUGGUUGUUAUUAUAUAGGCUCCAUCUGUCUUGCAGCCCACGGUGCCUCAUUGUUUCUCAGUUCUAUUUCUCACAAAUCCCUUGAUAUGCUCCCCAAACUCCCUUGCUAUUGUCACUCCACUUCAACACCAAAACCAUUAUCAACUGUAGCUCCGUCCUCUUCCCCCAUACCUCCAGUGCUGCCAUUCAUGUCUUUCCCACUUUGCUGUUGCCAAUGACUGAAGCUGUCUUUUAUCUGUGAUAUUUUCUUUCCCAUAGGGAAGUAUUAUUGUCUUUCAGCUGAAGAAAAUACCCCAUGCAAAACAUGCCUUGGGACUAAUCAGCCUCUUUUCAGCUAUUUUGUUAGCAUUAGGCCCAUAGGAAAUCUGACUGAUACAAAAAGGAAAUGCUCAGAUCAUGAACAGAAAUGUUCAUUUGCCUCCCUCAUGGAAAGAGCCUGCAUAGAACUUUAUUCAAUGGAUAAAGAGGACAGGAGUUCACUUGAAGACCAAUGGCAAGCCUUCUUAUCUAUGUCCACAUUGCAGGGAAGUUUGACUCUGAGCUUGCUUGUGAUGAUAUCAGUUUGUUGUGGAUAGAAAUUAUGAGGACGGCCUAAAUUAAGCACCAUGACUUCAGCCCAGGGACAAAGAGGAGGAGGGAGAAGGAGACAUCAACCUCUGUUUAAAGGACAAUAAAUGCAGUAAUUAUCAGCAUGGAACCAAAGCUUUGUUUCAACUAAAAUUCAGCUAAUCAUGUUUUUUCCCUUCUUUUGUAUCGAGGAGGAAGAAUGCCAGUUGCUCCUACCCUCCCUCCCCAUCCCCAUCUCUCCACCUCCCUUCCCCCAUUAGACAGUAUGUGACUCUCUAGUGACACAAGCACAGACAGACUCAUUACUCAGUUGCUGAUGGUGGAUGCAACCAAUUCUCUCCUGGUCAGAAAGUUGUAAGGAGAUAGGACUUGUUUUUCCCUCGUUCUUCCUGUGUCUGGUACGAUGCUUUGUGCAUAGAGGGUGGCUAAUAAAUGUUAAUUGAAUAAAUGAAUGAAAGAAUGAAUGGCACAAAUACUGGAGCAUGUUGGGUUAUGUUCCUUAUGGGCCCCAGACCCAGACAAAACUGUUAAUUUACUCUAGUUCCCACCACCACUACCGCUUCCUCUUGCUGGCACUUAACCACUUUCAGCACUAUAACCUCUGAAUAUUUUCAGGGCCUCCCCCACUUCUCCCGCCCUCCCCCUCUCCUGCCCACAUCCUCCAACGAUGGCUUCCAACUCAGACUCUGCCCUUUUAAUUUCCUCCCACUAUAGCUUAUACAUUCUGUGAC
Long non-coding RNA from Antechinus flavipes (yellow-footed antechinus), 1313 nucleotides. RefSeq lists it as uncharacterized. The record is from RefSeq and is a predicted model, not a curated record. The transcript has 3 exons. Lineage: Eukaryota; Metazoa; Chordata; Mammalia; Dasyuromorphia; Dasyuridae.